UGUGCCGGCGCGUGGAGCCCUGCGGAGCGGGGCUGCAGGUGAUCUUUGCUUGUGAGAGCAGCGCUUCCCAGCCCAUGGCCUCUGCUAUGAGGGCUGCUGUGUCGUGACACCAGGCGUCUCGCGUGCCCUGGAGAUGCGAGACGUGCCCUGGGCAGCAGGAGGCUCACGUCU
Nothoprocta perdicaria is the source of this 171-nucleotide long non-coding RNA. RefSeq lists it as uncharacterized. The transcript has 3 exons. The record is from RefSeq and is a predicted model, not a curated record. NCBI's taxonomy places the organism in Eukaryota, Metazoa, Chordata, Aves, Tinamiformes, Tinamidae.